RNAcentral lists this ribosomal RNA (459 nucleotides) under uncultured bacterium. RNAcentral's name for it is "partial 16S ribosomal RNA". It matches the Rfam family "Bacterial small subunit ribosomal RNA", at positions 338 to 795 of the family's 1533-position model. The record is from RNAcentral.
CCUACGGGAGGCAGCAGUGAGGAAUAUUGGUCAAUGGCCGGGAGUCUGAACCAGCCAAGUCGCGUGAGGGAAGACGGCCCUACGGGUUGUAAACCUCUUUUGUCAGGGAGCAAGGUGCAGGUCGGGACCUGCUGUGGGAGUACCUUAAGAAAAAGCAUCGGCUAACUCCGUGCCAGUAGCCGCGGUAAUACGGAGGAUGCGAGCGUUAUCCGGAUUUAUUGGGGUUAAAGGGUGCGCAGGCGGAGGGACAAGUCAGCGGUAAAAUCGCGGGGCUCAACCCCGCUCCGCCGUUGAAACUGUGUCCCUUGAGUGCGCGAAGGGUAGGCGGAAUGCGUGGUGUAGCGGUGAAAUGCAUAGAUAUCACGCAGAACUCCGAUCGCGAAGGCAGCCUACCGGAGCGCAACUGACGCUCAUGCACGAAAGCGUGGGUAUCGAACAGGAUUAGAUACCCGGGUAGUC